Molecule: ribosomal RNA, 301 nt
Filed under: uncultured bacterium
Lineage: Bacteria
Description: partial 16S ribosomal RNA
Rfam family: Bacterial small subunit ribosomal RNA
Source: RNAcentral
CAGUAGCCACGGGAAUACGAAGGGUGCAAGCGUUAAUCGGAAUUACUGGGCGUAAAGCGCACGUAGGCGGCUUGGUAAGUUAGAGGUGAAAGCCCGGAGCUCAACUCCGGAAUUGCCUUUAAGACUGCCGAGCUAGCAGGUGAGAGAGGUAAGUGGAAUUCCGAGUGUAGAGGUGAAAUUCGUAGAUAUUCGGAAGAACACCAGUGGCGAAGGCGGCUUACUGGCUCAUACUGGACGCUGAGGUGCGAAAGCGUGGGGAGCAAACAGGAUUAGAUACCCCUGUAGUCCCUGUCUCUUAUAC